UACAUAAAAGGCUUUGUACACAAAAAUGCUCAUUCAGUAUUAUUUAAACCAACAAAAAACUGGAGAUAACCUAAUUGUCCAACAACAGAGAAAUGUUUAGGUAAAUCAUGCUGUAUCCUUCUGAUGGAAUAUUAUGCAGCCAUUAAAAAUGAUAUUUAAAAAGAGCUGGUAAUAUGGUCUGAGAAACCAAAACACACACCCCUUUAUCACUAAGAUAGAACCUAAGGUUAAGGAAACAAAGGUUAAUUAUACGGUUCAACGCAGCUGGCAUGGCAACUCCCUAAAUUCCUGUGGCUAUAGGAAAAACCACAUUCUGGAUAAACUGUCUCAACAACAGGAGGUAUCAGGCAAAUGAUCAGACCUCGCCUAGCUAAUUUACAAGCCAGACCACUACAACUCUGAUUGGACAGAGGACUGGCCUUACAUUCUUUUCUUUCUUUCUUUUGUUUUUUGAGACCGAGUUUCGCUCCUGUUGCCCGGG
RNAcentral lists this long non-coding RNA (481 nucleotides) under Homo sapiens (human). Its description in RNAcentral is "HSALNT0105464". Lineage: Eukaryota; Metazoa; Chordata; Mammalia; Primates; Hominidae. The record is from RNAcentral.